Myotis myotis is the source of this 578-nucleotide long non-coding RNA. RefSeq lists it as uncharacterized. The transcript has 2 exons. Lineage: Eukaryota; Metazoa; Chordata; Mammalia; Chiroptera; Vespertilionidae. The record is from RefSeq and is a predicted model, not a curated record.
UGGAGGACAACUCGCCCUUGGGGGCUGGCCCUUCGGGAGCCACGCUCCUUCCUGCACUCACAGCCGCGCAGGACAAUAAACCCGCGAGUGGAGAAGACAGACCGCUGCCCGGCAGGGAGGGUCUAGAUGUCUCCCUUCCCAAAGUGAAUCACUACAGCCUGUUCAGAGACCAGUACCUAGAGAAGACGCAGCUGACAGACAUCUAUUCAAAUCCCAGCUCUACCCCUUUCCAGCUUUGUAAUCUGGAUCAAGUAACUAACUUUACUUCUAGUUGUGCCUCAGUUCUCGCUCUAAAAAGAAAUAAUCAUAGUAUCUACAUCAUCAAUUUGUAAUGAGGAUUAUGUAUCUCUAUAUCUACAUAUAUUUUUGAGCACAAACAAAGGCAAAUAAUAAGCACUCAGUAAAUUUAGUUUUUAAGGCAAUUUUUAGGAACUUAUCAUAAGGAAAAUUUUUAAACAUGCAGAUUUAUGUACAAGUAUUGUCCUAUCAGCCAUAUUUUAUAAUACCAAAACUUUGGAAACAAUUUAACUGUCAAGGAAUAAACUAAAAUAAAGUAUGUUCUACCCAAACAUAGUCUA